Molecule: ribosomal RNA, 498 nt
Filed under: uncultured bacterium
Lineage: Bacteria
Description: partial 16S ribosomal RNA
Rfam family: Bacterial small subunit ribosomal RNA
Source: RNAcentral
AUUGAACGCUGGCGGCAUGCUUUACACAUGCAAGUCGAACGGUAACAGGUCUUCGGAUGCUGACGAGUGGCGAACGGGUGAGUAAUACAUCGGAACGUGCCUAGUAGUGGGGGAUAACUACUCGAAAGAGUAGCUAAUACCGCAUGAGAUCUACGGAUGAAAGCAGGGGACCUUCGGGCCUUGUGCUACUAGAGCGGCUGAUGGAAGAUUAGGUAGUUGGUGGGGUAAAGGCUUACCAAGCCUGCGAUCUGUAGUUGGUCUGAGAGGACGACCAGCCACACUGGGACUGAGACACGGCCCAGACUCCUACGGGAGGCAGCAGUGGGGAAUUUUGGACAGUGGGCGAAAGCCUGAUCCAGCAAUGCCGCGUGCAGGAUGAAGGCCCUCGGGUUGUAAACUGCUUUUGUACGGAACGAAAAGCCUGGGGCUAAUAUCCCCGGGUCAUGACGGUACCGUAAGAAUAAGCACCGGCUAACUACGUGCCAGCCGCCGCGGUAA